RNAcentral lists this ribosomal RNA (430 nucleotides) under uncultured bacterium. RNAcentral's name for it is "SSU rRNA". It matches the Rfam family "Bacterial small subunit ribosomal RNA", at positions 27 to 518 of the family's 1533-position model. The record is from RNAcentral.
UGAAUGAACGCUGUCCAAAUGCUUGACACAUGCUAAUCGAACGUCUAAUUUUAUAAAAUUUAAUUAGAAGUGGUGUACAGGUGAGUAAAUGAUAACCUAGCUGCCUUAAAGUAAGGACAAAAUCCCUUAUAAAUAAAAAGAAAUAGAAAGUUUCGCUUUAAGAUGGUAGCGUAUAUCCUGGAGGAGUAUUAGCGUAAAGCUAGCUCAUGUUCCGGCAGUCGAGACUGAGAGGUCGAUCGAUCACAUUGGGUCUGAAAAAAGCCCACGGCAGAUAGUACAGCAGUGGGGUAUAUUGGUCAAUAGCCUAACGGCUGAACCAGCAACUUGGAAGAACGUAUAACGAAUAAGUCGUAUAAAAUUCUAGGUAGAAGAAUGAUAAUGAACAAUUUACAUCUAUAAGUCUUGACCUAAAUUACGUGCCAGCAGCCGC